This 1070-nucleotide long non-coding RNA is filed under the name Struthio camelus australis. RNAcentral describes it as "lncRNA (ENSSCUG00000001695.1)". The record is from RNAcentral. Lineage: Eukaryota; Metazoa; Chordata; Aves; Struthioniformes; Struthionidae.
CAGGAAAGGGCAUGGAGAAAUGUACUUUCAGCAGAGCAUUUCCAAGAAUUAGUCAGGAAUUUUUUGAAACUGUUACUCACUGGAAAAUGCCAAUUGGUUGAAACUUAAACUUUAUGCAGGAAUAUAAAAAUGUAGGUCAAGAAAAAAGUAUCCAAGUAAAAAGCUCCUUGUUCCUCAGUACAACUCCGUGUCCUACCCACAGCCGCCCCCAAGAGCAGCCGCGGCCGCGGGGGGCCCGUCCCCGCACUGGGCUCACGGCUGCAAAAGCCGUUGGGAGCGCCGGUUUCCAGCCUGAUGUGCACCUGGAAAAUGUCUGAAAUCCCUCUUUCGUUUUUUUUUUUAAACCAUGCAAGGAAGCAGUUUCUGCUCUACCUGCGGAUGGAGGACGCAAGCGGGGCCACCACGCUACGACGGGCUUGCUUCUUCCGUCAGCCGUUCGCCGCAGAGGGACACCUUUUUUUUGCCCUGUUUCUGCAUCCCUGCCGGGCUCGCUGCAAGGUGCUCUGCUGUUUCAUUCUGGCACGUGCACUGCUGAAAGUACGUUUCUGCGUGCACGGCGUGCACCCGCGCGCCAGCGCCCAGCACAAGGCAGCCGAGAGCUGGGAGCAAGCGACUGCUCCACGCUAGGUGUGAAUUCAGCCGGCGCCGUGCCGCUGCCCCUCGAACGGCGCGCCAAAUCCGAUCGCAAAGAUUCACUAACAUGGGUGAAAAGGCAGAAAACCCCGACUUGGCCCACGUGUCCUCCUCCAUCUCCCGCCCUCCCCGGCUGCCCCAGUCCCACGCUGGAGCCGAAAGAGCCCAGCUGCGUCUGCACUGAUUUACCGCCCUUACAAAGCUCAGCUUUUCUGCUGGAUCAAUCCCUGCCCCGAGCCAAGGGACGUUUGUCCCUGCUGGGCCGUGCAACUGCAGAGCUGCAAUCCCCCGCAGAGGGGUUUGCAAGACCGUGCAAAAAACGCCUACCAGAAACUAAACUGGGACCAGAAACGAAGCGUUUCUGCGCUCCCGGGCUUCCCAUACGGCAGAGCACCACCUCAGCCUGAGAAGCACCUCCUUCCUUUCUUUGCGGUCCA